CUGGAAACAAGUUGAAGAUGGCGGCUUCAACAACGGGGUGAGUGUACAGGGAUAUGAAUCAAACCAUGCAGGAGGGGGCAGAACCUGUCUCUAAAAGCCAUGGUGAUAAAGCCAGGGAAAAUUGGGAAGAAUAUGGAUUCCAGAAGUACCCAACAUCACAGCGCUAGGUGAUGCUCAGGAAAAUGCAUAAGCAUUCACAAAUCUCUCCUCUCUCUCUCUUUCUCUCUCUCCACUUUCUCUGCUCCUAGAUCGGCUACCAACCCCCUACUUUCUAUGUAAGUAUUGCAACAGACCACAACUUCCACUGCAACUGGAACUAACAGGCAGUUGAACUUUUCCUGUGCUCCCAAGUUUGGGUAUGGGGGAAGGGUCUACACACUUUCUUCCCCUAAGUGUCUCCACGUAGACAUAACUCCCCACAUGGCCUGAGCUCCUUCCUUUGCCCUAGUCCCAGGGUUCUGGACAAUAUGGGAGGGGUAGGCAAUUUACAAAGGGGUAGAUAUGGCAGCAAAGUAGGAUUCUCAUAACACCCUGUUCUCUCAACUUCUCAGGAUCCUCAGGGUACCCUAGGGGUGAGUAUUCCCACACUCAAGCAGACCUUCUCCCCUUAUCCCCCGCCACACAAAUAGCUCCUGGGUUGUCUCUGCUUUGCCCUGUAUGGGAUAAAGAGCACCAGGAGCUCCUGGGCAGGCACCACUAAAGCUGUGUUUUUCUUGCAGAAUGGUGGCAACAUUGACGGGCUCGGUGGACAGAGAUUCAGUAAUGGGAUUGGCUUCGAACCCCCUACCUAUUAUGAUCCUCAGGGUACCCUAGUGAACGGUGGCAGAUUUAAUGGCAAUCAAGACGGUUGGACAGAGUGA
Molecule: long non-coding RNA, 860 nt
Filed under: Coturnix japonica (Japanese quail)
Lineage: Eukaryota; Metazoa; Chordata; Aves; Galliformes; Phasianidae
Description: lncRNA (ENSCJPG00005017140.1)
Source: RNAcentral